This 46-nucleotide transfer RNA is filed under the name Echinococcus ortleppi. RNAcentral's name for it is "partial tRNA-His". The record is from RNAcentral. Lineage: Eukaryota; Metazoa; Platyhelminthes; Cestoda; Cyclophyllidea; Taeniidae.
AAACUAAUAGAUUGUGGUUCUGUUGAAUACUUAUUGUGUUGGUAAU